GAAAAAGUAUUGCAAGAACUGCUAACUCAUGCUCCCACACCUGACAACUGUGGCUUUUUCA
This 61-nucleotide transfer RNA is filed under the name Megaptera novaeangliae (humpback whale). RNAcentral describes it as "tRNA-Ser". The record is from RNAcentral. Lineage: Eukaryota; Metazoa; Chordata; Mammalia; Artiodactyla; Balaenopteridae.